This 329-nucleotide ribosomal RNA is filed under the name uncultured eukaryote. Its description in RNAcentral is "partial 18S ribosomal RNA". It matches the Rfam family "Eukaryotic small subunit ribosomal RNA", at positions 1470 to 1796 of the family's 1831-position model. The record is from RNAcentral.
CCCUUAGAUGUCAUGGGCCGCACGCGCGCUACACUGAGUGUCUGAGAUACGAGUCUGCCUGGUCCGGCAAGGUCUAGGUAAUCGCUAAAAGACACAUCAUGCUUGGGAUAGAUUAUUGCAAAUAUUAAUCUUGAACGAGGAAUUCCUAGUAAGCGCAAGUCAACAGCUUGCGUUGAUUACGUCCCUGCCCUUUGUACACACCGCCCGUCGCUACUACUGAUUGGAUGUUUAAGCGAGGUUCUCGAACUGCUAGCGACUUAGCUUCGGUGAGGUCGCAGUGUGGGAAGUGAACCUAGCUUUGGUGUCUAGAGGAAGUAAAAGUCGUAACA